RNAcentral lists this ribosomal RNA (263 nucleotides) under uncultured bacterium. Its description in RNAcentral is "partial 16S ribosomal RNA". It matches the Rfam family "Bacterial small subunit ribosomal RNA", at positions 522 to 777 of the family's 1533-position model. The record is from RNAcentral.
UAACGGAAGGGGGCUAGCGUUGUUCGGAGUUACUGGGCGUAAAGGGCGCGUAGGCGGGCCCUCCAAGUCGGGACCGGUGAAAGCCCACGGCUCAAACCGUGGAAUUGCGCUCGAGACUGAAGGGCUCGAGGACGGGAGAGGAUGGUGGAAUUCCCAGUGUAGAGGUGAAAUUCGUAGAUAUUGGGAAGAACACCGGUGGCGAAGGCGGCCAUCUGGACCGUAUCUGACGCUGAGGCGCGAAAAGCGUGGGGGAGCAAACAGGG